CUUCGCUGUUCUUCCUCAUUAUUAACUUCAUCUUCGUCGUCAUCUUCUUCCUCAGAAGAUUGUUCUUCAACAAUUGGUUUUCCCGGUCGGUAGCGUUGUGGCCUUUGCGGGUUCGCAGUCAUACGACCCCGAGAGGAUGGGAAUGGAGGCGGCAUGGCUACUCUGGACGGAUGACUUAUGGAUAGUAACGUUAGGUGGCAAUCAUUACCAGGACGGCACGGUGCAGUGAGGAGAACCUCCGCGCAGAGGGCGGGUUGCAAGGAGAAGGUCUCAAAGUUUUUAUUGCCGAUGAUGUUUGGUUGCGAUUUCGGAUAAUACAUUUUCCGAAACUCAAUCUAAUUUCAACAUCAUGGCACAGGUUUUGGAAAUUUGUACGGAGUAUAGAGUAUGUUAUCUGCUAAUAGGAAGCGUUGCCGGUUUUACAAACCGAGCCCGAAAAUGGGUUGCCUGCUUCAAUUACCACACUCGGUGUGCUUUUCUCCAACCCACAAUAGUGCGCAGCUCCAGGUGAUUAGCUCUUCCCGAUAACUGUCACAGUCUGCACCAGUCGCCAGCGACGCCUCAGAGGUCCAACUCCUCUUAGCUUUGACCAGCAUGUCGCCUUCCACGCAUCAGGAUUCUCUGCCUCCGAAGUCCUUAUGAUCUUGUGCAAAAGAUGGCAACCAAGAUACCCAAAAAUUUGAAAAUUGUGUAUUAGCAGAUUGCAAACAGAGUUAGCUGCCGUUGUUAUUGAGUACUGAUACUGACCAUCGAGUCUCCCUUCGAUGUAGAUUCGAGUAUAGCCGAGAGAGACUGCGAGUAUCCUUGAAAUCAUGGCUGACGGAGGCAGCUCAGUAGCUUGCCGAACCCAACUAAAGUGGUGAGGGCGGACUCGAGGAAAUAUAUUAUGUCUUUCCGUUUUUCGACAGCUGCAUACUUAUAUAUGUAGAGCACUAAGAAAGAACAACCUCAAUGAAACCCCACGAACUCAUAUAUGAGGUAGCUCAACAAGUAGACUCUUACUCCUGUGGUAGUAGCCAUGUCUAAGAGCGGGACCCAAAACUAAGAAAGAAUCGCAGGGACUGCAGCAAGGAUCGAGAGAGAAACAAGA
Molecule: small RNA, 1090 nt
Filed under: Histoplasma ohiense
Lineage: Eukaryota; Fungi; Ascomycota; Eurotiomycetes; Onygenales; Ajellomycetaceae
Description: hypothetical lncRNA
Source: RNAcentral